GGCCCACGUACCGCAAAAAAAAAAAAACACCUAAGAGAUACAUAUCACAAUCUCAAUUUACAGACCAGGAAGCUGAGGCUCAAGGGAGCAAAUGAUCUCAUCCAAAGUUUUCAUGGGCAGCGCAAAACCAGGGCUGGCUCCACAGCUCAUGCUUUUCCUCAGCACCAUGUUGUCUCUGAAACACACAAAACCUCCAUCCUCCACUCCCGUCUGAGCACUGCAGACACACCAACACCCUGACCUCUGGGAGGAUUGCUCCCACUCAAGGCUUUGAAGAAAAUUAUAGGGAAAGUGCCAGAGUGAACACUCGUUUCCCUUCCUUAACUUCUACAUCCCUGCGUCUUCCUAGUCCUGGCAAUUCCAGUCUCCCUUGUCUACACUGCUCUUGCCCCAGAAAAUCCCAAGAAGGCUUCACGUGGCUCUAUUUAAAUCCCCUUUCAGCACUCAGAAGCGGCUCUGCUUCCCUGGUGCGCUCUAGGUCUCCAUCUGGUUCGGAGGCUAUUUUAAUUCACCGGAUGUAGAUUAGCUGUGAUCUGGGGCUGAGCUGCUGGAGAGAUGCCUUUGUCUACAGAAGGACAAUUUAAAAACUAACUCAAAGCAUAGAGAACAAAUAAAUAAAUUCCUCUUUCUGUCUCCAGCACUCUCCAUCUCAUUUUCACAGGUAAUUGCUGAAGGAUUUUGCUUCCCACAGGCUCUUGCUUGUAUGGGGUGUGCAGUGCUGCAGCGUGGACCAAGGACAAGCAGCUUCUGGCCAGAAAUGCCAGUGAGCCUUGGAGGAGAGCUGCACCAUCGCCCUUCAUAGAUGAGAAAACUCUGAGGAGGGACGUCCAGCUUCAUGCAGCAAGUGCAGAAGCUUUUCAAACACGCGUCUUCUACGAGAAGUUCCGGGUCUCUCCUCUGCACCACUGCUGCCUCUUGAAGAGUUUCAAAGAGCUGGUGUCAAAACUGAGGUUCAGAGAAGGACAAUGCUGCAGACUUAGUCCCCCUGAAAGGACAAGCCUCCUAUACAGUGAGUGAAAAGACAGUUCCAUCCUUCAAGACUUAGACCCUCCCUGGGUUCUUUCCUGUAGGAGUGAGUGGUGUGGGUCUGCAGUUUGACCGGAGGCUGUUAGGUGUCAGGAUCACGCUUAAGGAAAGGAGGAGCUGCCUGGGAGAGAAGACUGGAGCUGGUGUGGUCUGUACACUGCUGAUGACGCAGGAGAUGAAUUUAGAUGGUAAAAUUUUUAUUGUUGCCUUCGAUUUGUGGCAGGGGCUAUGGCUUUCCAUAUAUAGUAAUGAUGUAAGAUUUAGUUUCUAAAAACAUUUAAGUAAAUAAAGAGAGUCAAUUUAAAGGCAAGUACGAAACAAUGUGGUUUGACUUUUGAGAAACUGACAAGGGGUCCUGAAAAGGUACUCCUGGCCCUGAAUUUCCUCCCAGACAAGCUUGUGGCAAUUCAUGGACUUGGGACCAGGAAUUGCCCAUUUUGGGAAACCUCUGUUCAAGCCUCAGGCGGCCGGAGCUAGAAGACAUUUGAAGGACCGCCUGCCUGAUCCAACAUUUCCUAUCAGAGAUGAGGAAAUGGAAGCCAGGGCUGAGGUUGUAGAAGGUGUGUCAGCACACACUUUCUCAGAAGGAGCCUUGAUCUGAUUCGCUUUCCGUCUGAGACCCCUGGGGUGCAGGGCUGAGCCAAUGGCCCAGGUUCACACCCCCAAGAGCAAGGUGGAGAAGCACAGGGUGAGGUUUUGAGCACAGUGGGCUUCAAAAUGACCAAAGCAGCUUUGAAAACAUACAGAUGCCUGGGCCCCAUUCCCAGAGAUUCUGAUUUGGUGCUUUAAUUUGGGGGCAGCAUUCAGGGAAA
Aethalodelphis obliquidens (Pacific white-sided dolphin) is the source of this 1838-nucleotide long non-coding RNA. RefSeq lists it as uncharacterized. The record is from RefSeq and is a predicted model, not a curated record. Lineage: Eukaryota; Metazoa; Chordata; Mammalia; Artiodactyla; Delphinidae. The transcript has 3 exons.